This 301-nucleotide ribosomal RNA is filed under the name uncultured bacterium. RNAcentral describes it as "partial 16S ribosomal RNA". It matches the Rfam family "Bacterial small subunit ribosomal RNA", at positions 509 to 807 of the family's 1533-position model. The record is from RNAcentral.
CAGUAGCCGCGGGAAUACAGAGGGUGCGAGCGUUAAUCGGAUUUACUGGGCGUAAAGCGUGCGUAGGCGGCUAAUUGAGUCGGAUGUGAAAUCCCCGAGCUUAACUUGGGAAUUGCAUUCGAUACUGGUUAGCUAGAGUGUGGGAGAGGAUGGUAGAAUUCCAGGUGUAGCGGUGAAAUGCGUAGAGAUCUGGAGGAAUACCGAUGGCGAAGGCAGCCAUCUGGCCUAAUACUGACGCUGAGGUACGAAAGCAUGGGGAGCAAACAGGAUUAGAUACCCCUGUAGUCCCUGUCUCUUAUAC